RNAcentral lists this transfer RNA (74 nucleotides) under Candidatus Anammoximicrobium sp. Its description in RNAcentral is "tRNA-Pro". It matches the Rfam family "tRNA". From Rfam's summary of the family: Transfer RNA (tRNA) molecules are approximately 80 nucleotides in length. Their secondary structure includes four short double-helical elements and three loops (D, anti-codon, and T loops). Further hydrogen bonds mediate the characteristic L-shaped molecular structure. tRNAs have two regions of fundamental functional importance: the anti-codon, which is responsible for specific mRNA codon recognition, and the 3' end, to which the tRNAs corresponding amino acid is attached (by aminoacyl-tRNA synthetases). tRNAs cope with the degeneracy of the genetic code in two manners: having more than one tRNA (with a specific anti-codon) for a particular amino acid; and 'wobble' base-pairing, i.e. permitting non-standard base-pairing at the 3rd anti-codon position. The record is from RNAcentral. Lineage: Bacteria; Pseudomonadati; Planctomycetota; Planctomycetia; Pirellulales; Pirellulaceae.
CAGGACGUGGGGAAGCCUGGUAUCCCGCGUGCCCUGGGAGCACGAGAACGCUGGUUCGACUCCAGCCGUCCUGA